GCUGACGUGGCUCAAUGGUAGAGCGAGUGAUUUGUAAUCACUAGGUUGGAGGUUCGAUUCCUCUCGUCAGCU
Molecule: transfer RNA, 72 nt
Filed under: Candidatus Poribacteria bacterium
Lineage: Bacteria; Candidatus Poribacteria
Description: tRNA-Thr
Rfam family: tRNA
About the family: Transfer RNA (tRNA) molecules are approximately 80 nucleotides in length.
Source: RNAcentral